CUGGCAGGGGCUGGGGGAUCCCCCAAUACCAGGCCUCGCCAGCGGCGAGGGAAACGGGGACCCUCCUUCCCGAUAGACACCAAGUCGCGCACCGCGCUCUGCCGGAACGGGAUCCCUCCCUUCCGCCGCGUCGUUUCUCUUCUCCACAAGGUGGUAGGAGACCGACGAGUGUCCACGACGACCAGGCAGCUGUCGCCGGACGGGAGGGGAGCCAUUAGCGACCGGGAAGAAUGCGAAGGAUGCCGGCGGCAAAGAAGCGCUAUUGUGUAAAUUUUAAGUCAAAAUAGGGGGGUUUACGAAAAUAUUUGGAUCGCGAUUAAUAAUCGCGAUCCGACUCAGGAGGGUUUAUGAAAGUAUUGUGUAGGCAUUUUUAUAAAAAAAAACCCCUAGUUGUGAAGGGAUUUUAUGAUACAACGCCUCGACCUCACCACGGCUCGAAUCCCUGCCAGCUGCCGGCGCGGGUCGAGCUCGAGCAGGUCUCCGCGGAAGUCCCCUCCAUCGCCGCUUUCCUCCUCCCAUCCCUCUUCCGUUCGACUUCCCCGGUGUAGCAGCCCAGUUGGCCCCGCGUGGAGGACUGGAGGUUGAGGAUGACGACGACGUCUUCGGGCAGCUCCUGGUUUGAGGCCGCUGUCAUCGACUUCGUGCUCGCGCGCGGCUGCCGGCGGCCGCUGCUGCCAAGCCUGCUCCGCGCAAGUCAAGGGGCAGCUCUCGGCCCCUUGGUGUCAAGCGCUGCGUGCGUACUGGGGGCACCACCCUGCCGUGCUUAUCUGCAAGCUCUGCGUCGCCGGCGGAUUAGAGCUUCUUCUCUGGUGGUGUCACCAGCGGAAGCGAGACCUCAUGAUGCUCCUCAUCCUCCCUCGAAUUUCUUCUGAAAAUAAGAAACAGGGGCAGCUUCCAAAUUGGCAUACUGAAUUUUGCUAUCAAACUGACAACGUCGGUUAUCUGUUCUCAAAUUGAGAACAUCAGUACACAAGCUUUUCAAAUUGAUGUGAGAAGUCGUUUCAAAAAAAAAAUCGUUUCAAAAAAAAAUUUGAUGUGAGAAUUGAGAUUGUUACUAAACAAUAUUGAAUGUCAAUCACUUAAGUGUUGUGAAUUGUGAGUGUUGUAAACUGAGAUUACUUACUGUUGGCAAUUUGAGAUCAUGUAACUAAUGUUGUCAAGAGAGGAUAUCACUGAUGAAACCAAAGAAGAAAUGUUCUUUGAAAGUCUUUGUUUGGAUGCAUAGACUUAUACUGAAGCGACAUCAACAAACUGAGGCAAUUACAAUAUUCGCAAUCACAAAUUGACACAAUAAUCACAACCUCAAUUUGACAAAGAUCUUAAUCCAUAUUGAACCACAAUCUGAAUUCACAUCAAUUUGCAAUCUCAAAUCAACAUUCAGUCAGGGUACAAGUUAUAUUAUCUUAAGCAGAUCAAAAGAAGAAGAAAAAGGAGUUGGUCUAAAUAGAGCCACAGCCUACAACAGAAAAUCAAUGAUCAUCACAAUGUACACUUCACAACUGAACAUCUUCCUCAUCCAAGCACCACUUUGAUUGCACCAUGGCACCAGGCCAUGUUCGUAAACUGAAACAAAAACAAAAACAACCCCAUAUGAACUCAAACUGUAGAUAAUUGUCUGGACCUUUCUGUUUGGUACUGGUGCAGGCUUCAGUUGAUGCUCCAGCUUCAAAGGCAUCAACAUUCAGCACUCAGUUUGCAAUUUAUAGCCUAAAAUCACUGCAUUUUUUUAAAAAAAACAAAUACCAAUCUGACAUGAGAAACUAGCAAGGGAAGUGCCAAUCAGAGCUCAUCUCAAAAUCCUCUUGCAUUGGUACUUUGAUAGGCCUGAUUAAAUUGUGAAACUUAUCACUUGACAAGUAGGUAGGAAUAUAUAAUUGCGUUGCGUUUCAGCCCUUCAAUCGCAUGUUCAGGCUAGUGUUAUUUUGGUUAACUGUGCAAAUAAAGUUGUAAAUAGAAGGCGCGUGUUGUAACAUAAUGUUGAUUAUCCAGAUACCCUUAUCAUCUAAGAGCAUAUGCAAAUAUUUUCUCCUGGUUUUGCAGUCUGCACCUGUCAGUUCAUAUUCCCCUCUGAUAGUAGUUUAAUACAACAGAUCAGUUCAGCCUCUGCUGUCAUAAACGAACAGAUUGGGUUAGUAGAUAGCAAUUCCAUGCAUAUUACACAUGAAUGAUGGAUCAUGAAUUCAGGAUUAACCAAAUUCAAAUAAACAACCUUGCAGUAAAAAGAAGAAAAAUGACCAGUGGAAUAAAGUUGCAGCAAAUUCAUUUGAACCAGCACCACAAUGAUUAAAGCACUAAUGCUGCUUGAUGUUUUCUAUAAAACUCAAUAUAACUCCUGUGAACAGCAAAAGUAUGGAUCUCGGUUGUUUGCCCAGCUAGCCUCAGCUUCCUCAUUCAACUAUUGUCAACCUUUUUGUCAUUUUUACUUAUUGUUAUGAACACAAUUAAUUAUAGCUCAUUCUUCUGUCAACUUUUUGUUUCAUUUGUAAAUCCUUUUUCCCUUCAGAAAGGCAUAAGUAUAUAUUGGGAGAUUUUAGUUCAAUGUUUCUGGUCGAAUAAAAUAUCUUUUCUACAAUAUAGACGUGACCAACACAUAACCAAGGGAUACCGAUUAAUUCUGAGGGAGUAACACGUGUACCACUUAGUUUUCCAAACACAUUUUUACAGAACUGUAGUAAACAUGUCCGCACACCUUAGGAAUGAAUAAAGUAAUUGCGAUUCUAUUUCACCUACAAGCAGCCACGCGCUGUCCGGUGCUAAGGUGGCUUGCGGUCUCCAUCUCUGGUGAAAUGAAACGCGGUGCAGGCCGAGACGCAAGUAUAUAUUCCAAACUGCCAACUGAUAAACAUAUUCUUACCUGACCGGUGACCGACAUUUUUGAUGAGCCGAACCUUUUGCUCGUUAAUUUCAUAUCCUUUUGCUUUUCUUUAAUGGAAUUGGAACCCACGGUUUACUUUUUUUGAAACGAAGGAACCCACGGUUUACGAACAAGCAGCUGAUUUAAAUGGAUGCCCUGCGUACCUAUGUCUACAUAUGUUGUUGUUUUUUCUCUUAUUUUUCAUAAUAUAUAUUUUUCUUUUCUGAUCUUCCACACUUGCACCACCCACCCAGUGUCUAGAUUAGCUAUUUUCUCUCUUUUUCGGAACACAGUACAAAUAUAGACGCUCACAUGUGCGCACAGCACAAUCGAAUUGCAUAUGUUAUAUCCUAAUUAGAAAAAAUUGAACUUCAUAUUAUCAUGUAAAAUUGCAAUUUAAUAAUUGUCUAGCCACCCUAGCAUGUACUAGCAUCCACUUUGCUAGUACAGUCCAAUUCCAAGCACUUCUAGAUGGAUGGUAAAAAGCCAAGAAAGCACACAAUAAUCAAUAAAGCGAUUGCACACAGGAAUCUUUCUCCCCCCAUGUGAACCGGUUAUUCCACAUUCCACUCAUGCGCUUCCUCGCUAUAAGCCUAUAAAAGCGCACGCCCAACCCUAGCAUCCUGCACACGAGUCAUCUCAUACAAUUCCUAAGCACUUCACUAGUAGGCACUGCACACAAACAGCCCGCAAGCUCCAAGCUUCACCAGCAAUGGCUCACUACCAGGAGGUGGACUACUGCUGCUCGGAGGAGGUGAGGUCGAUGGCCAGCCCGGCCGGCUUCGGCCGCCACGGCGGCGUCCAGCAGCACGUCGUCAAGGAGAAGUUCGAGGAGGUCGACAAGGUCUCGCGCACCGGCGGACACGGCCCCGGCCACUUCGAGGCGCGCGAGAGCAAGUUCGAGGAGGACAUCAACACCGGCACCGGCGAGUUCCACGAGCGCAAGGAGAACUUCGCCGUCAGGGUCGAAUGAGAGAUGACCGGCUUCACGCCGGCUCCAUCGACGAUCGCAUAUCUCCGGACCUGAGGCCCGUACGUGUCACGUAUAUAUGUGCGUACGUGUGCUCCCCACGUGUCUGAUAGUAGUAUAAAUACAGUGUGUACGGCCGGGUAUGUAUUUCUGUGUGUACGUGCACACGCAGCCUGUGUACGAACUACGAAAAUAAGCUUGUGACCUAAAUAAAUAAAGCUUCCCCGUAAAGGCACGCAGUUUGUGAUGUGAAUCGGACCGUCUACAUACAUUGGUAUGUACUGUACUCCUAUAUACUAAGAUUAUACCGUACAUGUGGCGCAUUUUUCACCAGGCAUGGCACCUGGCCUGUACCUGUACGUUUGCGCAUCCUUGCUUGAACAUGCUUUGUGUUCCAGAGUAUCAUCAGAUGAGUGUCCAUGGUGACAACACUGAAAUUCAUGGGAAGAUCUCUACCUAGCAAAAUGUUGUUGUGCUAGCUCAUGAUCUAAAUGCUUGAAGGAUUGAAGCACGAAACUCAAAUAACACUCAAAAGGGGGAAAAGAAGAACACGUUUUUCUGCAGGUGAUGAACAAUUGUUCUUUUUACAGUGAUCGCCUAAUAUAACUGAACAUGAAUGUUGCUAAAUCAUUGAAGCCUUGAGUCAGAGUGUUCAGGCCAGCAGUAUUCUUUUGGUUAAUUGUGAAAAUUGAGACGUUUAUAGAUGAUGUAGGUUUUAACAUGUUGUUUAUAGAAAUUAUCUCAUCAUCUGAUGAGAGUCUGACCACACAUGCAGAGAAAUGUGCAAAUUUCUAUUUGUAUCCUUUCAGACUCUCUCUUUUUCUUUCUUUCUCAGAUACACAUGAGGGGAUGCAUAUCGUUGUGAGCAUAGCAUGAUAGAACAGGUUAUGCUUUUUUAAACCAACAGAAUAUAGGUUAGUAAAUAGCAAUUUCAUGCAUAUUAUGAAUGGACGAUGGGUCAAGAAUUGUGGAUUAACCAAAGCCAAAUAGACAACAUGCCUUGCAGUUUCUUUAUUUCUUGUUGUUUGUGUUGCUGCUGUUGUUCUUGUAGUUGUGUCAAGUCUGGAAAGGCUUCAGUCGUCUGGGAAUUUGGAGUUGUUUGUAUUUCUUUAAAAUUCUUCUUCUAAUAAAAAUUACGACAAAUCUUUUGCCGUUCCCUUUAGAAAAAAACAACAACAUGCCUUGCAGUAAAAAAAAAAUAACAAUUAAACAACCAUUGGACAAAAGUUGCAGCAGAGUCGCUUGAAUCUGAAAUAUAUUGAUUAAAGUACCAAUUAUGCUUCCUGAUAAAAGCAAAAUAUAAUUCUCGUACACAAAAACUAUGGAUUUCGUUAGUUUGCCAGCUGGCCUCACAGGCUCACAGCUCCCUCAUUCAGUUUAUGUCCUUUUUUUAGUUUCUACUUGUCAUGAACAGAAUUAUAAUUGGUUCUUAUGUUAAUUUGUUUUCUUUUGUCUUGUUGUGUCCUUGUUCCUCAUACAAAAUAUUAAGACUGGGAUUUUUUUUCAUUUAGUGAUUGCUUCUGGCCCAAUGAUAUCUAUUCUUGUACAAUAUAACAAGUGUAAACCGGUCAUCAUCAGGAUGCGUAUCGAUCAUUUGCACAAAAAAAGAAAACCCCUCUUCCCCUUGCCUUGGACAUAUCUUGAUAUCUGCCUACCAUCCAAGCCCUUUUGUUAUUCCAUUUACACUCUGCUUCAAUCCACACAGCUAGCUUCUUCAAGCUUUUUAUCUCAUUCAGAAAAAUUCCUCGGCAUCGGUCUGUGUAAAAAUUCGCCUCGAGUUUUCUUCCAUCUUCGAUCCGAACGUGCAGGUGGCACUGCUCGGCAGAAAGCAGUGAGCGCGCACGUAUCUUUCAGAACAAGUUCCCUGCUCCACUCAUGCAUGCACCACGUCCGAUCCUUUGCCACAGCAUUCCUUCCACAGUUCCAUCUCAAUCAUGCAUCUGCUUGCACACUAUAAAAUCCCGGCCCAGUCCAUGUAUCCUGCAUCCAUCGAUCAGGUCUCAGCAUUGCAGAUCGAACAGACCAGCAGUGCUGAACACACAAACUUGGCUGCUAUUCACUGCAACUCAGGUGGCACCGCCGCCAUGGCGUACUACUCGGAGUCGGGCUACUGCUCGGAGGACGUGAGGAGGCCGUACGCCGAGCCGGGGCACUACCACGGCGAGGGCGGCGAGCGCUACGCCGUCCGCAAGGAGUACGAGGAGAUCGACGAGGUGGCGCGCGCCGGCAGGGGCCACUACGGCCACGGCCACCUCGGUCGCAGCGGCAGCCACCACCACGCCGGCCAUGCUGGGCACGAGGGGUCGUGCCAUGGGCACCUCGGCGGCGAAUACCGCGAGCAGCACCACCUGCACGGCCACGGCCACGGCGGGCGACACUACGACGCGUGCGAGAGCAGGCGCUACGACUCGGGCACCGGCCAUCAGUACUACGCUUGAGGCUUGAGCUGGGAUCGGACGGCCGAGGUGAACGGUCACGGUCAUCGUCAUGUCAGGGCUCCUACCAUCCUGAGUCCUGAGUCCUGACAGGGAGCUACUAGCUGCUGGUACUCCGUCUUAUUAUGUAUACGAGAAUAAGACCGUGAUGAUGAAUAAAGGUUUUGCGUGCUUCCAGGGCGGGCACGCCCUGUGUUUUUAAACAUUACUGUUUGAUUGAUCUCUACGGCUUUGGAGGUUGAGAAGAACAAAAAAUGAGUUCGAAACCGUCGCCAUGGAGGCGAUCCCUGAAGCUAUGCUUGAGCUCGCCUACGGGCGCGCGCAGAGGUCGCCAUGGAACCAGCCCCGCGCCGCCUCCGGAGGCCGAGCGAGGAUGAGACAUUUUAACGAACAGGUACAGGACACGCCGCCGCCGCGCCACCUUUGCUCCAACUCCAAGCCGGCCAAGCGAUCCUGCCCAUCCCCCUCUUCUUCAGUCUCGGCGGAUCACCAUUCACCAGGGCCGCCUCUGGCAUCCGAGCCCGAGGAAGGCGCCGGGUCGCCAUAGGUCCAAUCUGAGCCACACAAGCUCGAUCGGACGAGUCAUAAUCACCUAAGGGGUGGACACGGUGGGUGGUCGGUAUCUCAAUUCUCAAACAACGUCACCCCCGCCCCGCGCCACCCCCCCCCCCCCCCCCCCCCAACAACAAAAAACACCCCCCGGGUUCGCGUAGAACGCCGCCUCCGGCUUGACGCUGCGGCUCGCCGGAGCGCCACCGCCGCCUGUCUGGCCAUCCUCUCCCUCUUCUAGUCUUCUAGCUUCCUCCUGGAUGCCUCGCUUCGCUUCCUGCGCCAUCUCGCAUCUGGCGACGCACUCGCGCUCUCUCAGCCAUGGCUCGUCGUUCGGUGAUUUCUGCUGUGAAGGCCCGGACGGCCGGACUGGCUGCUGAGCAUGGCAGACAUGGCGCGACCCUAAGCUUGUAGAGCUUGCAGCGAUCGCUCACGAAGCAUAACCAUGGUAAAAGUUGGAAAAACCUUCCUUUCAAAAAAUAAAGUUGGAAAAUCAUACUCGAGAUAUCCGGCUAGAGAGCGACCAAUCCGUUCUUCCUCUUCAGCAUGCGAGGGAAUCAUUUCGGGUCCUCCUCCAUGCCCAAUAUUUGCCCCGGUCAGUGCCAGGGAAGCAGCUCCGAUCCGUGGUUCUACCAAUGAGUGUCAGGAGCAGCAGUUUUUCCUGUUUGCACAAGCUUUAAUUUAUGCGUAUUGAAAAUCACAGAUAUUCUGCAUGAUAUCUUAACAAUUCAGUACUGACAGACUGUGAAUUCCUAAUCGUCUCUUUUAUCUAUCAUUUUCCACUUUCUGUAUCUUUAGCUUUCUCCUGGAAACAGCAGCAAUACUCAAAUGAGUCGCCACUUUCAGGUGCUGGGAUGAAAUAAGAGCUCUACGCCAGCAACACGGAUCAAAUGUGUUCUUGUCCUCAAGUGUAUACUGCUGCCAACUUGCUUCAUCUUCAGUUUACAAGAACAGACACGAACCAUGAGAACGAAGAAGAAAUGAAACUCUGACCAAAGUAGUUACGAUGGCAGAAUUUGUACGCUACAUAUCCUGUCUCUGUUUGAUGAUUUCCUACCUGGCUAAAGGACCCUCUGCAAACCGACGGCGCGACAUAUAGAGACGGGUGGACGGCAGGCCGUGUUCGUUCGCAGUUGGGCUGUGCGCUAGAGAGCGCGCGGCGCACGCUGCUGAUGACUGGCCGAUCAGCGAAUGGCGCAAAGCGAUUUAGGAGCCGGUCGGUCUUAUGAUCGCCGCGGGCCGCGGUUAAGAAGAACAAAAAUGAGCUCAAAACAGUCGGCCAUGGAUGUGAUCCCUGACGCUAUGGUUCAGCUGGCCGGGCGCGCACAGAGCCACAUAGGUCGCGUUGAAAUUUGGAACCAACCCCGCGCCCCCCACCGGAGGCCGAGCGGGGUUGAGGCAUUUCCAAGAACACGUGAAGGUCGCGCCGCCGCCACUGGUGCUCGGAGCCGGCCGAGCGAUCCAGCCAUUCUCCGCUUCUUCAGUCUCGGGCUCUCGGCGUGCCGCCAUGGCCGCUUCUGGCAUCUUGGCCUGACGAGGAAAGCGCCUUCCCGCCUUGGGUCUAAUCUGGACCACACAGGCUCGAUCGGACGGCUUGUAGGCACCCAAAGGGUGGACGGUAUUUGAAAUACCGUCCACCCGGUCGGUAUCUGAAAUAACGUCCGCCGCCUGGGUCGCAUGGAACGCCGCCUCGGCUUCACGCCACGGCUCGCCGGGGCGCCACCGUUGAAUGUCUGGCCAUCCCUUCCAUCUUCUUCCUCCUGGAUUCGUCGCUUCCGGCGCCAUCUUGCAUCUGGUGACGCUCCCGCGAUCUCCCAGUCGUGGCUCGCCAUUCUGUGCUUCUGUCGUCGCAGUUGAAGGGCCGGACCGGCUGCUGAGCAUGGCAACCAUGGCGCGCGCCCAAAGCUUGUAUAGCAUCCAGUUCAUGUAAACAAGGUAUGCGCAUAAGAUGAGAUGACGUUCCAGCGCUCAUACACCGGCAAGCCGGUGCACGGGAGGUCGGGCGCAGCCGCGCCCACGAAAUUACGGUGGCGAUGGAGCUCGGUGGCACCAUCGCGCGCCAAUUUGGCCAACGGCGCAGCGGGUUAAAAGCCGGCCACCAAACCACUCGGCACGCACGGCACGACGAGACACGAAUCGCACCCGGCGCGAGCAAGCAUGCGAUGUGGCUGUCUGCGCUGCACACGGCGCUGCGGCGGCCAUGUUCUUCGAACGGGGAUUAUGCGAAACGAGCGCCGCGGCGCCGCAGUGGGGGAAGAAUGUACGAUUUCCACCAAAUUAGCAGCCGCUGUGCUCAUGCCGCCAUAUCAAGGAUUGCCGCCUGGUACCGUGCUACCAGAGUACUAAAAUUCGCCGCCAUGGACGAGACCUCUGGUUUGCUAAAGCUCCUGCUAGCUUACGGCUAGCGCAGAGGCGCACACAGAGGCCCCGCGCCACCGCCGUAGGGUGAUCGGAGGGAUGAAUUUACACAAACAUGUGCCGUCCGGCGCUCGCGCCGCCGCCGCUGGCCCGAGGAGGAAGACGUCUCCCGCGAUGCACCUAAUCCGGGCCGUAAAAGUCUGAUCCGACGGUAAUUAGGCACCCUUUGGUGGACUGUAUUUCAAUAGCGUCCACCCGGACGGUAUCUGAAACAACGUCCGCCCCUGUGGUCGCCAGCAACACCGGGUAGCUCUGCUUCACGCCGCGGGCCAAGCUCGCCGUUCAGUCGUAUGUGAAGGGCCGGACCGGCUGCUGGCCUCCUGGCUCCUGGCAUGGCUGCGCGAGAAUGAGGUCGCCAAGGGUGGGCGGCGUCGGCGGCUGCGCCAAGCCCAAGCACCGCCACCAAGUCGCACGAGCAGCUCUGGCGUUUGUGUAUUUUGUGUAUCGACCAACUUCGUGAUCUGCACCCACCGCAUCAAACAGGGAGCACAAUUUACUUGCCGAGCACCCAGGGGGUGCCAGGACGCACGGUGCAUGUGAUUCAGCUCACAAGCCGAUCGGUUUUAGGAUCACCCAUCACUGCCGGCAUGGACGAGGCCUCUGACGCUAUGCUUCAGCUGGCCUAUGGGCCGCGUCUGAACCAGACCCGCGCGCCCCAGUCGGAGGCCAAGCGGGAGCGAGGCAUUUCCCCGAGCACGUGCAGGUCGCUCCACCGCCGCCGCCGGCGCCGCCCGAAGCCGGACAAGUGAACCAUCCUCUUCUUCAGUCUCGGCGGGCCCCUGUGUGGCCUCCGACGUCCGAGGAAGACGGCUCUCGCCACGGGUCUAAUCUAGGCCGUUCAAGCUCGAUCAGACGUUUCGCAUGUACCUAGUGGGUGGACGGUAUUUGAAAUACCGUCCACCCCCUGUGGCCGCGAGAAACGCCGCCUGUGCUUCACGCCGCGGCUUGCCGGGCCUCCGCCGCUGUCCGCCGGACCUUUGUUCCCUCCUCUUCCGCUUGGAUGCGUUGUUGCCUGCAACCUGCUACCUCUUGCAUCUAGCGAGGCAGGCACACGGGCCCGCGCAGCCCUGGCUCGCCGUCCGUCAGUCGGAGGUGAAGGACCGGACCUGCUGCUGCAGGCAUGCAUUGCGAGCGGCCAAGCAUGCAGAGUACAAGAGACUGCUCAACUGCUGAAGCGGCAUACGCAUGAUUCAGUACUGUCAGACUCUGUAAAAUGGUCUCAUCCGCCUCUCUUUUGAGCUUUCACUCUCUAGUCUUUACCUCAGUUUUUUCAAGAAACAGCAACACCCAGCUGUUACCUUACCACUGCUAGAUUCUGAGGUGAAACAAGAGCUCCAACAUCAGCAGUAAGGAAUUAAGGAUCAAGUUUAUUGUUGUAACAUCCCAGAUUUUCCGGAAUGUUAAAUUAGUGCAAAAUCGUGAAUUUCAAAAACUUUUUGUGUUGUGCCUUAGUUAGAACCUAAAUAUAAGAUUAAGUUCUCGCUACCUCAAGAUCCUAGUAAAUUUAACUUGAAACUGAGGACCAUUAAAUGUUAGUGUGAUUAAUUGAAGUCCUUUCGGAUUUAAUUGCAAUCUUCCUUGAUUUGAAAUUGUUGUUGGAUUUUACUUGAUUGAAAUCUCCAUAUUGCUGCUUUAAUUGUGUGGGAUUUGAAUUUGAUUAGGCCAAUCAAAGUCAAAUCCAAAAACCUACCCUCUAAAACCCCUCAUGGGCCACCAGCCCAAGCCAGCACAGCCAGCCCGCGAGCACGGCCCAGCUCUCCUCUUUCUUCCUUCCCCCGCGCAGCACAACCCGCGUGCACGGCCCACACGGCCCACAGACCACCGCUGGCCCAGCACACCGUCGCCGCCCGCGCGACGCUUCACCUUCCCCCGGGGUGACUGACGAGCGGGUCCCACCCGUCAGCCUUCCUCUUCCCCCUUCUCCCGUCACGACCCGAAGCUUCUGCUCCGCCCCGCAGCGCUCUGAUCCGCCCGCAAUGCUCCGCUUCACCCCCGCAGCUCCGCUCCGCCCCCGCAGCUCCGCUCCGCUCCGCCUCGCGUCGCCGCUCGCCCCGCUCCGCGACAGGGAGCCCAACCGCCGCGCCCUUGCUUUCCCCUCCACCCGCGCCUUUUUCCCUUUUCUCCCCCGCCGCGGCCCCGCUCGCUCGCAUCACCAGCCAGCACCGCGCCCCGCUUGUCCCCGCUCCGCGACGAGGGAGCGAAACUGCCGCGCUGCGAACCCUAGCCGCGCUCCCUCCGACGCCGCGAUGCCGCCACGCGUCCUGGCCCGGACGCUAAAAAACCCCGGCCGCAGCCGCUCCCGAACCCUAGGGCCGUCCCAUAAGAACCCCACGGCCGCCGCCUGAAGCCCUAGCCACCCGCGCCCCUUUUCCCUUCCCGCCGUCGCCGCACCAGAGAGAGGGAGAGAAGGAGGAGGAGCAGUGCAAGGAGGUGGAGGACGACGAGCUGCGCGAGGAGGAGAAGGCCGUCGCCGCCGGAGCUCCGCCACGCCUGCGCCCGAACGAUGACCCCGACGCAGCCGCCCGUCCUUCACAACCUCGGUCCGCCUACGCCGACCCGUCACUGCGCCAAGGACCUCGCCAGCGAGCCCUCGGUGAGCGCCGCCGCUACCUCACCCUUCCUUUCCCCCACUGCUGCCGGCGAUGCCGAUGAACCAUCCGUAGUAGACCCCUAGUGCCCUACCCUUGUCUUGUGCAGGAGCCCGUCGCGCCGCCUAACGAGCCGCAGCCGCCGCGUCGUGCCGCGGGCCCGGGAUUCCGGUGCCCCGCGCACGGCACGGCCACGCCGCGGCCCUGGGAAGCCAGGCCCCGCGCGCGUGCGUGCGCACCCGCGCCGCGAGGCCGAGCCCUGCCCUUGCCUCGCCGCGCCGCCGCUAGCCUCACCUUCACCGUACCGCGCGCACGCACGCCCCCGCACAGACCGACACGGCCGUGCCUGCCUUUGGCCACCCUUGCCUCGCCGCCGUCGCCACGCCACGACCCCGCCACGGCCUUGCCGUGCGUGGUGACCACGCGCCACCGCCGGGACGUCGCGUUCGCGUCGCGGCUAGGCCAUUGAGGCCUUUCCCCGAGCACCCUUCGGGCGCCACACACACACCCGCGGCUUCUGCACACGCACGCAGACACCCUUGCCCGCUGCACUGGAUCCAGACGAUGCCGCACCAAAUCCCACCGAGGCCGACACGUGGGACCAACCUGUCAGCGAGGAGGGGAAGGAGCAGAAGCAAACCGGCCAGCGAGGAGGAGGAGGCGAAGGGAGGAGGCCAUCAGCCCGCCGCGGCCCGAGAAGCGCAACAAGGCCCAAGAUGAGCCAGUUAGCCCGAGGAACCGAGCCGGCCUGCUGAGCCGCAGGCCGAGCUGACCCCGCGAGCCAAGCCGAGCCUGUUGGGCCGAACGGGCCGGCCCAGCUCCCUUGGGCCCAGAACUAGUCCGAGCCCUUUUUCCUUUUCUUUUCCCAGCCUGACCCGAGGGGCCCACCUGUCAGCCUCGGGGUGAGGCUGACCGGUGGGACCCGUUGACCGUGGAUCCCCUUGACCGUUGACCGACGUCAACAGGGCCCACUGCUGACGUCAGCAGACCCGGACCCCCCUGAUGACGUUAUUCUGACAGCAUGCCACGUGGCACGCCCUGGUGCUGCCACGUGUCACUGUUUAAUGAUUUUCUUUUCCGAAAUUCUUUUAUUAAUUUCAGAAAUAGGUUUUCUCUUAGAAAAUUCAUAAUAAAUCGACUGGACCUCCAAAAAUUAUGAAACCAAUUCCAUAAUUCUUCUAAAAUCAUAAACCACCCGUUAGAGUAGGUUUUGUGGUGAUUUGGAUCUUAUUUGUAGAGUUUUGUGCAUUUUUGCACUUUGGUCCCUACUCUUACUCGUAUUUACGAAUAGGACCCGACCACGAGGAGUUGACCGACGGCCAGGACUAUCCGAAAGCCCAGGAGGACUUCGAAGAGAUGCCAGGUUCACACCCAUCUAUGAUUUGAAUACCUAUUAGGCAUUGCUUGAGUAGAAAUGCUAUCGCUAUGUGUGUAACUUUACCGAGAUGAACCUGCAUGGCCUAAUUUAUGGACCUUACUUCUUGUCAUCCUAUCUCACUUGUUUAUUAUAUGAAAUGCCUUGCAAAUCCUUGAAUGUGUAUGUGUGGGAAUGGAUGGACAGUCUUGGCGUGUGUGAAGUGGUACUCUUCAGGUGUUGGUGAUUAGGGUUUUAACCGGGAGUGGGCAACCUAACUCGAUCAUGGAUCGAGGGCUUGGGGUGUGUAUCUUGGCACAUCCUACGGAAUACCUGUGGCGGGUACAAUUUUGGUUACGAGGUUGAGGUGUUGGGGGCACCCGUUAAGGGUGCAGUCGCAGACCACCGUGGUGGAGACGCUUUUGACGAAGAUGCCCGCUUCGGCAAUUAAGGACCGGGUGAGAGUAACUAUGACUUAUGGGAAUCUGUUAAGCGUGCACACCACUUACCCAUUAUGAGGGUGGGCCCGGUCCGGGGUUAGCAAGCGCGGUACCAAGCCGGUGGGAGGAUCAAGUAUCAGUGCAGGGGAAGGAGGUGCUAACCUUACGUUCCCCGAGACGCAUGGGAGGCUUCACAGUCCCGGGGCGACCUCCCGUGGGAGGAUGCGCCCAAGACACGGGAAAGCCGGAUGGUGCCGUGGCUCCUAGUUCCGUUUCAGUAGACCGGUGUUUCGUAUAUUAGUCGUCUGAUCUCCGGCUAGUGUCGAUUCGAGUGUGUCCAGGUGUACAACCCCUGCAGGGUAAAAACUAUACGUAUAGCCGCGUCCUCAGUCAUGGACAUCCCUACUCUUCUGUUGCUCUUAUUAGUUAGUGUUACUCGUGACUUCUACCUCCCUCUAGUAUAACUUCCUGCCAGGGGGCAGCUGAGAUGCGAGGAAAGGGAGUUCUCGCAUCGACUUGGUGGUUUGGAAGGUGUGCGUUGACCGGGAGUCCGGGAUGCCGGAAGGGCCCGAGUCGGGAAUGGGAGGAGAUGUGUAUACUUAUAUGUAUAUAUUGCAUGCAUAGGAAAACCUCAGCUUUACCUCUUGAGCUUUGUUAUUUCCAUAGUAUAGACCACGAUAAAGCUUGCAUUCAGAUGGUGGCGUGAACCUAUCCCAUUCCUUGGGGAUAGUCUGGUACGAUGCAGGAUCCGAUCCGGAGUUCGACCCCAACGACGACGGUUGGUACGACUGAAGCCCGUGCUACGCUCAAGUCGCCUGUGGAGAAGGUUCCCGAAGAUGAAGGACGGUCGAAGACCUAGCUACCGCUUUGCGCUUUCUGCAUGUUCGCCUUAGCCGAGAGGCUUGUAAUAAAUUCCGUACUACAGAUCAUUUGGAUUUAUGUAAUAAUUAAACCCGUGUUUGACCCUAUGCGAAGUAUGACUGUGAUAUUAUGACUGACAUGAGUCCUGUAUGUGAUAGCGCUUGAUCCAGGGACUAUCACAAUGAUACAGGGAGUCGGAUUUCUCGAUUUGGGAAUCCGGUUCAUUUCAAUUGUUGUCCUCCAUUGUCUUCUUGCUGCUGCCAAGAUGCUUCAUCUUCAGUUUACAAGAGAGAAGAAGUGAACUGCUGCAUCUUCAGUCUGACGGAUGUGCAGUCGAUGUCCAGUUUCUUCAGAUCUCUGCAGUUCAUAAUUCCAUUCAUCCUGCUGUUUCUCCGAAGAAACUACUUGCCCAAUGCCCAUAUCUCCCAUUCCUCACUUUUACAAUUGAGAACGACUGAUUUUGCGACAGAGCACACUGGCCGUACCAUCUGCUCUUGGUUAGCUCUGUGCUCUCAGAAAGUGAACAGAGCUCACUGAACUUUCAGGCUCUGAAAUAUCUCUUUGUUGGGACUGCAUUUUUGGCCUCUCCAAUGUUUGAGUUCAGUUCCUUCUUUUCUCCGUGUCAGCGACCUCCUAGCUACACUAUGCUAUCUUGAUCUCUUGGAUUCCAUUUGCGAGUUGACGGUCGCAUUAGUUGGGCAAUUCCUACACUUUUUGUGAAGGCACUGUGUAUUGCUACUCUGACUGACGCACUAAUGAGCCACGCAAGCAAUAUACGAUCGAAAUCAUCAGUGAUCCGCAUCGUAAUGCAAGUGCUGCGUAUUUUUUCUACUAGCUAGCAAGAAGGCAAAAACAAGCCAUCAAUUAUGGGACGCGAAUAUAAUCUUAUUUGCUGCUUUACCAUUUACAGGUUGAGCCGGACCUUUGCUUUUUAUCAUCUUGGGAGUGUAUGCCGCCAUGCCCAUGCCCACGACGAACUUGAUGCCUGCGCUGGCCUGGCGGCUCCCCUGAGUGGGCUUGAAGAAGAAUAAAGCCAUGGAUCAGGUCGGAGUGGUGUUUUGUUCAAAAGAAGGGGGUCGGAUCGUGGAGCACUUUCUGUUCGUCCUACCCUACCACUACCAGCCCGGAACAAAUGCUGCUGCAAUCCACAGUGAAAACGCAUGCAGAGCUAAGCACUGGCGCACCUAUAAAACGCGACCCCAAGCCGAUCGAUCCAUGCAGCGCCAAGAGCCACAACGAUCCAAGUGCGAAGGCACAGGUAAGUAGGUGACGCAGGGGGGAAGCAGCAACCAGGCGCUGUAUAUGAUGUUGAGGGGCACGCGGAGGAGGAGCGCCUGCCUCGCCGGCGGCAACGACCAGGCGCCACCCGCCAUGAACUACCACCGCGCGCACUCCGAGCACGUCACCAAGGUCGCCGGGAACCCCUGCCACACCGCCGGCGGCCACAACAACCACGCCCUCCAGCAGCAGCAGCAGCAGCAGGCGCACCGCCACCACGGGUACAACAACAACAACAACCACGGCGGCGGCGGCUCCCACCGCUACGAGACUUACGAGGAGACCUACGAGGAGACCUGCGAGGAGAAGACGACGUACAGCGCCGGCCGCCACCACGGGCACGGGCACGACGGCGGCGGCGCGCGCCGCUACGAGUACGAGACUUACGAGGAGACCUGCUACGAGGAGGAGCAGGAGGUCGUGGGCGGCGGCGGCGGCGCCCAGCUCAAGCGCGGCUACCGCUGCGCAUGAGCGAGCAGCCAUUGCGCCAGCCGCCAGCUACCCUGUGGACGCGGCGAGUCCAUGUUGGCAGAGACCACGAUGAUGCAUGCAUGGGGUACACUGCAGACUGCACUGCAGCUCAAAUUAAAUAAUUAAUCCGACCGGGCUAAUCCUACCCAAAUAAAUUGUACUCCCACAGUUCAUCUGUGCUCUGCAUCCGCCGUAAAACAUAUUGUGCCUGCUUGUUUGAUUUGGCUCGUGUUUGUUUGUCUCCUGCAAAUUUGGAAUCGCGUCAAAGAAGUCGAUCUCUUGCAAGGCCGAAUCGGACGAAGGUGAGCGAUAGAGAUUUGGCUGACGUCUCUCCCUCCCUCUCGAUCGAUACCUUCCGGCAGAGGGAGCGCCUAGUCUUUCGUGAAGGCACUGUAUCUCUAUGGCGACCUGGCACGGUUACACUGAGGGUCUAUUUGGAUGGAUUAAAGUUAAGUGAUAAACUUUAGUACCUAUUAGUAUUCAUGUCUCGUACUAAAGUUUUUAGUUUUGGUUAAAAUUUAACCUAUCCCAUUAGCACUCCUAUUUAGAUAAGCUAGCGCUAAAGUUUAGCACUUUUAAACGUUAGCACUUGAUCUAAACACCCUCUAAGCCACGCAUGCUAUAUAAGAUCGAAAUCAUCAGUGGUCCGAUUGUAAUGCAAGUGUUGCGUGUUUCUGUUACUAGCUAGCAAGAGGCAAAAAUAAGCAAUCACAACCAUCAAAUAUGGCACGCGAACAGGAUCCUUCCUUCUUUACCAUUUUUGGCCCACAACUAGAGGCCUGCGAUUUUUAAUAUGCCAAGAUUUUUAAUUCCGUGCUUGAAUCGAAUGCUGGUGUCCUUCGUCGUUGCAUCUCGGAUCUUCAGUUGUGGCAAUGCCGGGUUGCCUCUCCUGUGGAGAAAUUUGUUUUAGAAGAAUGGCGUCUUUUCCUAUCAAGUAAUAUGUAACUUAGCUCUGUAAGCUAGUUGGUUCUCUCCUCUCCCUUGCUCCUUUUGAGCGGCUAGCUCUUCUAUUUCCUGCCUUGUAACUUUGCUGCUCGAGUUAAUAUAUGGUUCAGGCCGGUCCAGUAGGUCCGCCGUAGUUCGUCUAAAAAAAAAAUGCCUGCGAAGGUCCUGACUCACCUGAGUGGGCUACUCACUACUGGGCUUGGAAGAAUAAAGCCAUGGAUCGGGUCGGAGCAUCGUCUGUCUGUCUGUCCUACCUACUCCUAUCCCCAGUGAGAAAUGCGUGCAGCUAAACACUGCUAGUGCCCUAAGCACCUAUAAAAGACAACCCCAAGCCGAAUAGCCGAUCGAUCCAUAGCGAUCCAGGUGCGAAGACACAGGUAACGCAGGGGCAGGGAAAGAAAUCACCUUGCCACCACCCACCAGCUGCCAUGCGGAGGAGUGCCUGCCGCGGCUACGGCCAGCCGCAAUCAGCCAUGAACUACCAUAGCACGCACUCCGAGCACGUCACCAAGGUCGCCGGGAACCCCUGCCAUGCCGCCGGCAGCCACAACAACCACGCCCUCCAGCAGCAGGCGCACCGCCACCACGGCUACAACAGCAACAACCACGGCGGCGCUUCCCACCGCCGCUACGAGACUUACGAGGAGACCUACGAGGAGAAGACAACGUACAGAGCCGGCCGCCACCAUGGGCACGGGCACGGCGGCGGCGGCGCGCGCCGCUACGAGUACGAGACUUACGAGGAGACCAGCUACGAGGAGGAGCAGGAGGUCGUGGGUGGCGGCGGCUGCGCCCAGCUCAAAUGCGGCUACCGCUGCUCAUGGGCUAGCGAGCAGCCAGCGCGUCAGCAAGCUCUCGGGCACCCUGUGGAUGCGGGUCCCUAUCGGUAGACGCCACGCUGAUGCAUGGGAUUACACUGCACACUCUGCAGCUCAAAUAAUCUGGUGACGACCGGGCUAAUCGUAACUAAAUAAAUUGUACUCCCACAGUUGAUCGGUGCUCUGCAUCCACCGUAUAAAAAUCGCUGCCUACUUGUUUGAUCUAGCUCGUGAUUGCUUGUCUCCUGCAAAUUUCGGAUCGCGUCAAGAAGUCGUCUGCUGAGUGCUGAAUCGAACCGAAGGUGAGCGAUAUAGAUUUAGCUGACGUCUCUCCCUCCCUCUCGGCGCAUCCCCGGCAGAGGGAAGUCGUUGUCUCUUUGCCCCCAAAACGCUCUGUUUGGAGGUGAUCAGGUUCAGGUGAAGGACCGGACCUGCUGCCUGCUGAUGUUCCAUUUGAGCUCUAAGCAUUUGGUGCCAAGAAUCAUGGCAUGUGUCUGUAUACCAUAACUAAUUCCAAAGCCCCACUGAACAUGUGCACCUGCGCGGACUAGAAAUGUUUUUAGAAAAUAUAUGGACUAGACCUUUUGUGAAAGCACAAAUGCCUAUGAUUUAGGAUUUAUAAGUGAUUAAUGUGUGCACAUCAACCAUGCUUUCUUGCUAUAUGUAUUCCCCUAUUGAAUCAGAGCCUUUGCUGUUGUACAGUUUUUUUUAUCUUGAUUUUUCCUCGCAUUAACAAUUUUUAUUAUAUAUGUAUGUGUGGCCAUCCAUGGUACUCUCAACUUUGAUUACCAGACGACUCCACUCCAUGCUCGGGAGAGAAAAACAUAAAUCAAUGUCUUGGCGAAAACAUGACACUUGAGUUAAUUUUGACUUCGGUAUGAUGCAUGGGUAAUUUAGAAGCGGGUAUUUAGGUUAGCUUUUCAUAGUGCAAGAAGGGGGAGCAGGAGUGGGGUGCCUCGGAUUAUUAUUUUCAUAAUGACAAAUUAAAUGUAUACAAUUAGAAGUAGGUACUUACCAUACUUUUUGUAUUAUUUGUUCAUAACCAAAAAGGGUAAUUCAAAAACGCAUGCGAGGUUACAAGGCUGUUUAUUGUUGCCAAUGAUGAUUAGAGUCCACCGACGACACAAUCAAUAUUAGAACCGCAAGCCAUACAUGGUCAUAUUAUAACGAUCGACAUGCAUUGUAACCUUAGGUGCUACUUAUUAUGCUAGUAUCUUAGAGCAACUCCAAGAGACUCUCUAUAUCUUUCCUCAUUGUUAUCUUGUUGUUAGGAAUAGAGAUUUUGGUGGAAAAUAUCCUCCAACAGCUUCUCCAAGUGGUUAUUCAAAUGUAGCCAUCCUCCGUUCCUUAUUUCCCGCUAGCCAAAGAUAGAUAAUGAAAAUAAUUUCUAGAGUGUACACGAGAUAUAGAAAAGUUGUUGGAGAGGAAAAAUAUAUAGAAAGCGAUCUUUAUGCAGAAGGCUCUUCAAAUAAUAAUUUAGAGAGUGAAAUUUAGAAAGACUUUCAAGAUGCUCUUACACUGGAAUAAAAAUUAGGCCACAAAAUAUAAAUAGCAGCAUGGAAUAGGAUCGUAGCUAGAAUGAGUGCGUGCACCAUCACGUGACGUAUAUAAGGUUGAGCAAUCCAUGGAAGGAAUCCUUGAACGCUGUAAGGACGACAUGAUGAUAAGCAUUCCUGCUAGGCAACUUGUAAAAAGAGUCCAUCAAAUAUGGCGCGCGAAUAGGAUAUCUUCUCGCUUUUCCACUCAAUGAUCGCAGUAGAGGCGUGAUGCCUCCUCACAUUAUAAGAUGCCUCGAUUAUACAAGCCGGAGUACUACACGCAGGCACACAGCUCCGUCGAUCUGGUUCGACCGGCCGAACAAUCGCAAGAUGCCUGACUGGAUAUAAAGCGAGCAACGGAUCACCGAGCACAUAUCCAUUGCCGCCGGCCAGCAACCACCUUGCCUUCGAGACCAGCAAGUGGCCGGGUCGGGCACAGAUGCUCCCGCUAGCUCUCGCCGCGGCGGCGUCUAUAAAACGGCCGGACCCAGGCAGAGCCAGCCACGCCAACACAGAGCAAGCCGCGGCCUGAGCAAGAAGAGACCUAGCUCCAGCGCCAUGGAUGCGGUGGUGAAGCGUGGCUACGGCGGCUACGGCUACAGCAAGCCGCAGGUGAACUACCACCGCCAGAACACCGAGUACGUGACCACCGUCGUCACGGAGGUCAACCACAUGACCGUCAACGACAAGCCCAGCUGCGGCGGCGCCGGCGUGCAGAAGCAGGCCGCCUACAAGGAGAAGGAGGAGGUGUUCGUGGAGCACGACAAGGGGUCGGCGUACGGCGGCUGCCACGGUGGUGGCGCCGCCGUGCACAAGCAAUCCUCAUACAAGGAGGAGGAGUACGAGGGGGCCGCCGCCGGCGUGAAGAAGGAUGCCUACUACAAGCAGGAGAAGUACGGCGAGGCGGCCGGAGGGUACGGCGCCGGCGCACACUACGGCGGCGCCGCCGGCGUUAACAAGCAAGGAGGCUACAAGCAGGAGGCCUGCGGGGAGACCGACGCGGGGCACUACGGUGGUGGUGGUGCGGGCGCCGUGCAGACGUACGCCUACGACCAUCAGGCGGCGUACGGCGGCGCCAUCGGUGCCGCCGUGCAGCAGCACGGCUACCAGAAGGACGCGUACGCCGGAGCCGCGAAGAAGAACAGCUACAAGCACGAGUCGUCGUACGGCGAGUGCGACGCGGCAAAGUACGGUUCUCACUACGGUUACGGUGGCGGCGCCUACAAGCAUCACGAGAAGUACGGCGAGGCUGACGGAGGGUACGGCGGUGCCUACUACAGUGGCGCCGGCGUGAAGUACGGGUACAGUUUCACGCAGCUCCUCUGCAUGCUUCCGAGUGAUAUCACGCCAUGGGUCCAGAAUCUGCGCGUGACAGGCGUGGGCGGCGGCAAAGCCGCCGGAGGGUACCCUCUCCACCACGGCGGCGCGUACGGCUACGAGGCGCACGGGAAGGCGAGCAAGACGGGGUUCGCCGGCGGCUACCACCACAACAAGGCGUACGACUGCGAGAGCGAGAGCGACUCUGACGAGAGCGACUGUGAGGAGGCGUUCCCCCCGCGCGGCCCCACCAAGCAAGGCGGCGUCCACGGCUACGGGGCGGCGUACAAGCACGAGAAGCACGGCGCCGGCGCCGGCUACGGCUACGGCACGUGCUCCCCGCUCAGCUACGGCGCGUAGGCAUACGCCCCGGAUCCAGUUGCCCCCUGCCAUGUCGUACGUGUGCCGGCACUUGGUGGAUGGUGUGGCCGGUGAUGCAGCUAAAUAACUUAGUAUCUAUCUAAAAAUAAGAGACGUACUUUCUGCAACCAUAAGAUAAUAAUGUAUGAUGAUGAAACUCAUGAACAUGUUGUGUAUGGGUGAUUUCCAAACUGAUUAUGCAACCAAGAUGUUCAGGGCAGAUACUGAUGGCGUGGCUGUAUGGCACAAGUGCUGUUCCAAGACAAGUAAUUUGCAUGUUAAAAACGAGCGAAAAAAAAAACUUGCCAACGUGCACCAGGUCAACAAGGGG
This 21527-nucleotide long non-coding RNA is filed under the name Panicum hallii. RNAcentral's name for it is "long non-coding RNA (PHAL_LNC000482)". The record is from RNAcentral. Lineage: Eukaryota; Viridiplantae; Streptophyta; Magnoliopsida; Poales; Poaceae.